This is a non-coding RNA of Biomphalaria glabrata, 71 nucleotides long. Lineage: Eukaryota; Metazoa; Mollusca; Gastropoda; Planorbidae. The record is from Rfam.
CCAAUGAUGAAUUCUUAAGUAUCUGAUAUUUUUGAUGUCAAAAAAAAAUCCUCUAAGAAGUUCUGAUGGGA